AAAGUCGUAACAAGGUUUCCGUAGGUGAACCUGCGGAAGGAUCAUUAACAAGUUGAUGGGGGGCAUGGUUUUGUAUCAUGCCUCUACAUUUGCGCGCUCUUUGGAGCGUUGGGUGAUGGUGGGUGGUGGUUUGUGGUUUGUGAUUUGUGGUUUGUGGUUUGUGAUUUGUGAUCGGUGAUCACAUGAUCACAAAUCACAUGAUCACAUGAUUACAUGAACUGUGAUCACACAUUCACUAUCCCUCGAACAUUCACACGUUUGCUGGUUGUCUGUCAUCUCACACAAAAACACAACUUUUAACAAUGGAUCUCUUGGCUCUC
This 320-nucleotide unclassified non-coding RNA is filed under the name Basidiomycota sp. Its description in RNAcentral is "partial contains small subunit ribosomal RNA, internal transcribed spacer 1, and 5.8S ribosomal RNA". The stretch from base 1 to 47 matches the Rfam family "Eukaryotic small subunit ribosomal RNA", at positions 1785 to 1831 of the family's 1831-position model. The record is from RNAcentral. Lineage: Eukaryota; Fungi; Basidiomycota.